This is a non-coding RNA of Mustela erminea (ermine), 539 nucleotides long. The record is from the annotation of a RefSeq genome assembly. Lineage: Eukaryota; Metazoa; Chordata; Mammalia; Carnivora; Mustelidae.
AAAAGUCUCUUUUUUCCUAAUUGGUAGGAAAGCAGAAGAAUUUGAAAUGUCUGACCUAGACUCACUUUUUUAGGGCUUAAAAUCUGAAUCCUCAGUGAACCUGGGGAAGAAAGAACGAUGAAGUCCUCAAGAGUUUUACUGGUGAUCCUGUGGCUUCAGUUAACCUGGAUGAGGAGUCAACAGAAUAGAGUGGAGCAGAGUCCCGGAUCUCUGAGCCUUCGGGAGGGAGAUGCUGCCUCUCUCAACUGCACUUACAGCGACAGUGCUUCCCAGUACUUCACGUGGUACAGACAGUAUUCCGGGAAGGGCCCUGAGUUGCUGAUGUACAUGUACUCCAAAGCUGGCUGACGUUGUGCAGAGAAGAAACCAUGACAAAAAGAGGCCAGAAGAGGAAGACUCCUUCUUACAGUCAUUGAAAUUCAUCAAAGCCACGGACUUGUCCAGCCCCACCUCCCCACUCUUCCUGUAGCUCUGAAGGCUCAGUGAUCUCGGCUACUGUCCCACCUGCUCAGGAAGCCCAGAGUGGCUCCACUGCUCAG